Molecule: RNase P RNA, 215 nt
Filed under: Planctomycetota bacterium
Lineage: Bacteria; Pseudomonadati; Planctomycetota
Description: partial RNase P RNA component class A
Rfam family: Bacterial RNase P class A
About the family: Ribonuclease P (RNase P) is a ubiquitous endoribonuclease, found in archaea, bacteria and eukarya as well as chloroplasts and mitochondria. Its best characterised activity is the generation of mature 5'-ends of tRNAs by cleaving the 5'-leader elements of precursor-tRNAs.
Source: RNAcentral
AGCUCACCGCGGGGACGGUGACGUCCCUGGCAGGGUAAACCCCACCCGGAGAAAGGCCAAACAGAGGCAAAGGAGUGGUCCGCUCCGUUCCCGGCUCUGCCGGGUCGAUGCCCGGGUAGGCCGUUCGAGUCGUCCGGCAACGGGCAACCUAGAGGAAUGACCGCACAUCGACGCAUGUCGGUGAACAGGACUCGGCUUACAGCCCGCUCACCACU